RNAcentral lists this ribosomal RNA (877 nucleotides) under Serratia symbiotica. Its description in RNAcentral is "partial 23S ribosomal RNA". It matches the Rfam family "Bacterial large subunit ribosomal RNA", at positions 351 to 1240 of the family's 2925-position model. Lineage: Bacteria; Pseudomonadati; Pseudomonadota; Gammaproteobacteria; Enterobacterales; Yersiniaceae. The record is from RNAcentral.
AGCACCAAAGAAGGUGACAGUCCCGUAAACGUAAGUUAAAAUCUAGGGUAUCAAUAAGUACGGCGAGACACGAGAAAUCUUGUCGGAAGAUGGGAGGACCAUCUCCUAAGGCUAAAUACUUCUUAGUGACCGAUAGUGAACUAGUACCGUGAGGGAAAGGUGAAAAGAACCCCGAAAGGGGAGUGAAAUAGAUCCUGAAACUGUGUGCCUACAAUUAGUCAAAGCACGUUAAUGUGUGAUGGCUUGCCUUUUGCAGAAUGAACCGGCGAGUUAUGAUAUGGAGCAAGGUUAAGUUUUAAGGAACGGAGCCGUAGCGAAAGCGAGUCUUAAUAGGGCGUUUAGUUGCAUGUCAUAGACCCGAAACUGAAGUGAGCUAGCCAUGAGCAGGUUGAAGUUUAGGUAAAACUAAAUGGAGGACCGAACCAGGACACGUUGAAAAGUGUUUGGAUGACUUGUGGCUAGGGGUGAAAUUCCAAUCGAACUCAGAGAUAGCUGGUUCUCCCCGAAAUAGCUUUAGGGCUAGCGUUGAUUUAGUAAUUUGGUGAAGGUAGAGCACUGAAUGAGUAAGGGCUCCACCUCGGGGUACCGAACUCAAUCAAACAAAAUCAGCAGUCAGACUGUGGGUGAUAAGGUCCAUGGUCAAAAGGGAAAGAGCCCAGACCGUCAGCUAAGGUCCCAAAAUUGAUGUUAAGUGGCAAAGGAAGUGAAGAUGUUUAAACAACUAGGAGGUUGGCUUAGAAGCAGCCAUCCUUUAAAGAGUGCGUAAUAGCUCACUAGUCGAAUGACUCUGCGCCGAAAAUGUACCGGGGCUAAAACAUCAUACCGAAGCUACGGAUUCAAAUAACUUCUUAGUUAUUUGAAUGGUAGGGGAAGCGUU